AUUGAACGCUGGCGGCAGGCCUAACACAUGCAAGUCGAACGAGUGGCGGACGGGUGAGUAAUGUCUGGGAAACUGCCUGAUGGAGGGGGAUAACUACUGGAAACGGUAGCUAAUACCGCAUACCAUCAGAGGUGCCCAGAGGGGAUUAGCUAGUUGGUGGGGUAAAGGCUCACCAUGGCGACGAUCCCUAGCUGGUCUGAGAGGAUGACCUGCCACACGGGAACUGUGACACGGUCCAGACGCCUACGGGGUGCAGCAGUGGGGAAUAUUGUCCAAUGGGCGCAAGCCUGAUGCAUCCAUGCCGCCUGUAUGAAGAAGGUCUUCGGGUUUUAAUGUACUUUCAGCGGGGAGGCGUUACCCGCAGAAGAAGUACCGGCUAACGCCGUGCCAGCCGCCGCGGUAAUUC
Molecule: ribosomal RNA, 406 nt
Filed under: uncultured bacterium
Lineage: Bacteria
Description: partial 16S ribosomal RNA
Rfam family: Bacterial small subunit ribosomal RNA
Source: RNAcentral